GGGCACCACCGGCGGACGGCUCAGUAACACGUCGGUAACCUACCCUCGGGAGGGGGAUAACCCCGGGAAACUGGGGCUAAUUCCCCAUAGGCCUGAGGUACUGGAAGGUCCUCAGGCCGAAAGGGACUUAUGUCCGCCCGAGGAUGGGCCGGCGGCCGAUUAGGUAGUUGGUGGGGUAAUGGCCCACCAAGCCGAAGAUCGGUACGGGCUGUGAGAGCAGGAGCCCGGAGAUGGACACUGAGACACGGGUCCAGGCCCUACGGGGCGCAGCAGGCGCGAAACCUCCGCAAUGCGGGAAACCGCGACGGGGGGACCCCGAGUGCCGUGGCAACGCCACGGCUUUUCCGGAGUGUAAAAAGCUCCGGGAAUAAGGGCUGGGCAAGGCCGGUGGCAGCCGCCGCGGUAAUACCGGCGGCCCGAGUGGUGGCCGCUAUUAUUGGGCCUAAAGCGUCCGUAGCCGGGCCCGUAAGUCCCUGGCGAAAUCCCACGGCUCAACCGUGGGGCUUGCUGGGGAUACUGCGGGUCUUGGGACCGGGAGAGGCGGGGGGUACCCCUGGGGUAGGGGUGAAAUCCUAUAAUCCCAGGGGGACCGCCAGUGGCGAAAGGCGCCCCGCUGGAACGGGUCCGACGGUGAGGGACGAACGCCAGGGGAGCAAACCGGAUUAGAUACCCGGGUAGUCCUGGCUGUAAAGGAUGCGGGCUAGUGUCGGGUGAGCCUCGAGCUCGCCCGGUGCCGUAGGAAGCCGUUAAGCCC
This 754-nucleotide ribosomal RNA is filed under the name uncultured archaeon. RNAcentral's name for it is "bacterial SSU rRNA". It matches the Rfam family "Archaeal small subunit ribosomal RNA", at positions 70 to 822 of the family's 1478-position model. The record is from RNAcentral.